UUGUUUCUGCAGCAGAUAUACUAAAUUGAAAUGAUACCAAGAAGGUUAGCAUGGCCCCUGCACAAGGAUGGCACACAUAUUCUGAAGCAUUCCAUAAUUUU
This 101-nucleotide small nuclear RNA is filed under the name Choloepus hoffmanni (Hoffmann's two-fingered sloth). The record is from RNAcentral. Lineage: Eukaryota; Metazoa; Chordata; Mammalia; Pilosa; Megalonychidae.